GAAAUAUAUAUAAGUAAGCUUCUAACUUACAUAAAAGCAUUAAUAUGUUUAUAUUUCU
This 58-nucleotide transfer RNA is filed under the name Oryzaephilus surinamensis (saw-toothed grain beetle). Its description in RNAcentral is "tRNA-Ser". The record is from RNAcentral. Lineage: Eukaryota; Metazoa; Arthropoda; Insecta; Coleoptera; Silvanidae.